GGGAAGUCAAAUAAAUGCUGUCAACCAACAAGUUUUGCACUCUAGGAGCAAUGAAAUGCAGAGUACAUUUUUAUCAAUGAAAAAAAUUGAUUAAGGAUGUACCAAACACUGACUAAAAUCAAUUUGGCUCACUUAAUUUUCAUAAAAUUUUAAUAAAAUAUUUACGUUUGACCUUUUUGACAAAAAUAUUAAAAUUUCAAAAAACUUGAACCUUGCUCUUUGGAUAAAUAGAAGUUUGAGAAACACUAAUUCUGAUCAAAGAGAAGCUUAAUAUUUCCUAAAUAAUAGAAAGUGAUUAAAAUGUUCAUCUGAUUUUUACAGAGUUAUCUCCCUGCAAUGUUAUGUACCAGAGUUAUCUCCCUGCAAUGUUAUGUACCAUUUCAAAAAUGUUGUUACAUAUGUAAAAGGUAGUUAUCAUUUGCUGAUUGUAUUGAACAUAAAUUGACAGUAACAAUCAUAACAUACUGUCUAUUGUUGAAGACCUUUGUUGACCUCUUGAUGUCUUCUUGUUGUUGGGUUGUUACCUCAUUAACAUAUACCUCCCAUCUCUUUAAAAUAUUAAAAAAGGUGAGAUUACAUAAAUUAUCACUGUAACAAUAAUAUCAGUAGUAUGAACUAUGUUUGUCUAAUUGACAGCUGUUUCAAAUUGGUGGUUGUUUUUUUGAAAAAUAGUAGACUGAAUUUUCUCCCUUUAUAAUAAACAGCUAUCAAGUGUUUAUUUUAAAUAAGUUAUAUAAAGAUGAAC
RNAcentral lists this long non-coding RNA (745 nucleotides) under Mytilus galloprovincialis (Mediterranean mussel). Lineage: Eukaryota; Metazoa; Mollusca; Bivalvia; Mytilida; Mytilidae. The record is from RNAcentral.